Molecule: ribosomal RNA, 132 nt
Filed under: uncultured bacterium
Lineage: Bacteria
Description: partial 16S ribosomal RNA
Rfam family: Bacterial small subunit ribosomal RNA
Source: RNAcentral
UGGGGAAUCUUAGACAAUGGGCGCAAGCCUGAUCUAGCCAUGCCGCGUGAGUGAUGAAGGCCUUAGGGUCGUAAAGCUCUUUCGCCUGUGAAGAUAAUGACUGUAGCAGGUAAAGAAACCCCGGCUAACUCC